AUUGAACGCUGGCGGCAUGCCUUACACAUGCAAGUCGAACGGCAGCACGGGUGCUUGCACCUGGUGGCGAGUGGCGAACGGGUGAGUAAUAUAUCGGAACGUACCUUAUUGUGGGGGAUAACGCAGCGAAAGCUGUGCUAAUACCGCAUAAUCCCUAAGGGGGAAAGCGGGGGACCGUAAGGCCUCGCGCAAUUAGAGCGGCCGAUACCUGAUUAGCUAGUUGGUGAGGUAAAGGCUCACCAAGGCAACGAUCAGUAGCUGGUCUGAGAGGACGAUCAGACACACUGGGACUGAGACACGGCCCAGACUCCUACGGAAGGCAGCAGUGGGGAAUUUUGGACAAUGGGGGAACCCUGAUCCAGCAAUGCCGCGUGAGUGAAGAAGGCCUUCGGGUUGUAAAGCUCUUUUGUCAGGGAAGAAACAGCAGCUCUAACACAGUUUGCGAAUGACGGUACCUGAAGAAUAAGCACCGGCUAACUACGUGCCAGCCGCCGCCGUAA
This 500-nucleotide ribosomal RNA is filed under the name uncultured bacterium. Its description in RNAcentral is "partial 16S ribosomal RNA". It matches the Rfam family "Bacterial small subunit ribosomal RNA", at positions 30 to 523 of the family's 1533-position model. The record is from RNAcentral.